Formica exsecta is the source of this 1204-nucleotide long non-coding RNA. RefSeq lists it as uncharacterized. NCBI's taxonomy places the organism in Eukaryota, Metazoa, Arthropoda, Insecta, Hymenoptera, Formicidae. The record is from RefSeq and is a predicted model, not a curated record. The transcript is spliced from 6 exons.
AUGAAGUUGGUAACAAAAAUGAUUUUGAAUUCAGCCGCAGGAAGGCCACAGUACUCCCCUCCCAGCGACGUACUACGUUGCGAAUCUAACUUUCUUCCUUGGACCAGAAUAUGUUCUGAGUUGUUUUCCAAGUAAGGUUGACUGAGGUGAAUUGGAAGAAGAAGGAGAAGGAGACGUCAUGAUAAUCACAUCAUCGCUGGUUUCUUUCGGUAGGAAGGCUGGUUUAAGACGUUCUGUGGUGAUAUUGACAAUUUUUCCUGCAACAUCGAUUGCAAAUAGAUUAUCAUUAAUUCUAUUAACAAUACGAAAAGGGCCAGAAUAAGGAGGUUGAAGAGAUUUUCUAACUGCAUCUUCACGAAGCCAAACGGUCAGAUGGAAGAUCCUCUCCAAUGAAAAAUUCUCCAGGAAUUCUUAAUGCAGAUCCAUAAAGCAUUUCCGCAGGAGAUGCAUUCAAAUUUUCUUUAAAGCAAGAUGCCAUUGGAAGCCGGAUGAUAAGCUGAGGUUCUAAUUCGCUCGCAACCAAUUAGGUUGGUAAGAGCCUUAAAUAAUGCAGCUUCAAAUUGAGGACCUUGAUCGGUUGUGAUCGUCUGAGGAGUACCAUACCUCGCAAAAGAAGAGUACCAAUCAAAUCUAGAUGAAUGUGCUGAAAACGUUGAUCCGGAAUAACAAUCUUUUGAGGAAGAUUCUUGUUUACAGGUAGAACGAUCACUUGGAUGAGAUAAACCAUGAACAAAAUCAAAAAUUUUUCUGCGAAGCUGUUGAGGUACAUAAAAACGAAUAUUAACGGUAGAGCAGUCACAGAAAAUAAGCGUAGUCGAGCUAAGAAACUAUGAUAGGCAUCGAAACAGAUUCAAUUCUAGAGAGGGAAUCUGCAACUACAUUUUGUUUACCAGAUAUAUGCUCGAUGUUUGUUGAAAAUUGAGCAAUGAAAUCAAGAUGUCGGAUCUGUCUGGGCAAAGCUUUAUCUAAUUUUUGUUGAAAAGCAUAAAUUAAAGGUUUAUGAUCUGUCCGAAUAAGAAUCUGACGUCCUUCUAGUAUGUACCUGAAAUGUUUGAUGGCUAAAUAAAUACCAAAAAGUUCACGAUCGUAAGUACUAUAAUUACGUUGAGUGUCAUCCAAUUUCUUUGAGAAAAAUGCAAUUGGUUUAUUAAUCCCAUCGAUUAUUUGUUCUACUAGCACGCAGCGCGCGCUACGCGCGCGCCAU